CCUGCGUGAUACUGCAGGUCGGAAUGUGGCCAGCGUGGUCCCCCGGACCACGCGGCUGAACCAUCAA
Molecule: regulatory RNA element, 67 nt
Organism: Halococcus saccharolyticus DSM 5350
Lineage: Archaea; Methanobacteriati; Methanobacteriota; Halobacteria; Halobacteriales; Halococcaceae
Rfam family: eL15-Euryarchaeota ribosomal protein leader
Source: Rfam